RNAcentral lists this unclassified non-coding RNA (1940 nucleotides) under Leishmania donovani. Its description in RNAcentral is "gene:LdHU3.31.0120(CDS-product:hypothetical_prote in_conserved)". The record is from RNAcentral. Lineage: Eukaryota; Euglenozoa; Kinetoplastea; Trypanosomatida; Trypanosomatidae.
UCCGCACAGCACAACACAGCAAGCGCGACAGCGGUGUCGGCGCUGCCCUGACCUCCCCCGUUCUCUUUCAGGGCACCUUUCUCCUCCUCCGCGACUCUGGUUACCCUUCCGGCUCACGCUCCCCUAGUAAGAUGUCGCGCGCACACAGGGACCAUACGUGGAUGAAGAACCACCCCCUCGAGGGGGACGACAUCGUCGCCGGGCUGUACAACAUUCUGGCAAAGCGCAACCCAAAGACGAUGAAGGCGUGCCGCGGGAUUCGCAUUCCGGACACGGUCGUGUUUGAGCACAACUUUCCACGCGGCUGGUACACAACGGACAUGAAGGCGAAGGAGGUGGUGCGCAAGCAAGGCAAGGACCUCGACGCCAACACCAUCGAGCAUGGCUUUACACAAGACCUCUGCGAUGGCUCCCCCAUCGCCGCCACCUACCUCUGCACAACGGAGCAGACAACCGACGACGGUGAGACGGAGGUCAACACACUCGUCGAGGUGUUCACCCGCGACACGCUGGCCGCCUUCCUUGCACGCAAGGUCAAGCCGGAUGGCAUUCUGCAGAAGUUUAUCCUUCCGAAGGGGUAUCAGAACAGUGUCAUCAAGGUCGUGUGGAGCCCGCGCGUCUGCAUGGUACAGCGCCGCACGAACAAGUACCGCAUCUUCGACCGCAAGAGAGCUGAGCGCGACCCCUUCUCCAUCACUGUCACCUACGACGGCCCCACCUUUCUAAGCGAUGAGGGCAGCGUGUCUGGCAACAUUGCGAUAGAGGUGAAGCAGCUGUGCGGCAACAUCGUUCAGCACUUCUACUACACCGAACACAAGUACAUCACGCGGAUGGUGCUCUACUUCAAGGGUGACCAGCGCGACCGGCUGUGGCUGCUGUGGUGCGGGUCGCUGCGCGUGUCGGACCGCAACACGCCAAGCGAGAUGCCCGUCAACCUCAUCACCAACUUCGGUGAGCCGUCGAUGGCCGACAACGCCUUCGACGAGGAGGAGCUGCUGCGCAGCGCUGACGAGGCAUACCUCCGGCUCACAAACGAUGAGAUGUUUUACGAAACGUACAUGAAACGGAUGGGAUGCCGCGGGGCGGCCUACAGCGAGGCGGCCGCACAAGGUGACAAGCCCUCAUCCUCUAGCGCAGACGGUCAGCAGGAGGGCCGUGCGAGCUCCGGCGCUGCCGCCGAUGCCUUCGACUGGAGUGGCCUGCCAUCUCUGGCGGUCGAGACUCGCGACCGCAUUCUUCUCGAGAAGAAAUCGAUGUGCUGCCUGUUCGAAGAUCUCUUUUACCACGCCCGCAACCACUUCCUUACCCGCCGCGCAGAGCCCUAUAACAUGGAGAUCCCGACAGAUGCGGCGGACGCGCUGACGGAGAACGGCGUCGUCGAUCUCAUGCGCACUCUGCGCCUCCCCGCCAAGGUUCAGGAAUCAACAGCUUCGGCCCCCAUGUGCUACGUCAUCGACUCCGUGUCACGUCAGCCCCUCACGCAGCUCGCCGACAAGGCGCAGGUGUGGAUCCAGACCUAUUUCGACACGAAGCUGCGACGGCUUCAGCAGGCGGUGCUGGCGUUCGCAGGGGACGAGGAUGCGCUGCGUAGCGAUGUAAUGGAGCUGUGACCACCUCUUUGGUGCGUGUUCCUGUUGGAUGUAGAGUACACAUGUAUCGCCGUGUCAUAUUUGCUGUGCCUUUCCUCCUUGCUGGGCACUUCGCCUCUUAUAUGUUUGCAUGUCCUCAUCGUGGGUGCGCCCAUGGCUACCGCCGUCGGCCACACACUGGAGUCGUGCUCGCGCGCUUUUCCUUGCUCCUGUGCAUCUGCCUCUCUGUCCUGCCCUCUCUCGUGCACCCGGCAUUGUGCGGCCGCAGCGGCAUUGGCAGGGCGUCGCGUCUCUCUUUGUUUCCCCCUUUUUUCUCCUAGGCUGGUGUCCGCGUGGGGCUCGACUUCUUGG